UACGAGGGGGGCAAAUGUUGUUCGGAAUCACUGGGCGUAAAGGGCGCGUAGGCGGGUUUUUAAGUUAGGUGUUUAAUACCGGGGCCCAACCCCGGACCGGCACUUAAAACUGGGAAUCUUGAAUAGUGGAGAGGUCAGUGGAAUUGGGGGUGUAGCGGUGGAAUGCGUAGAGAUCCGCAAGAACACCAGUGGCGAAGGCGGCUGACUGGACACAUAUUGACGCUGAGGCUCGAAAGCAUGGGGAGCAAACAGG
RNAcentral lists this ribosomal RNA (253 nucleotides) under uncultured bacterium. RNAcentral describes it as "partial 16S ribosomal RNA". It matches the Rfam family "Bacterial small subunit ribosomal RNA", at positions 524 to 776 of the family's 1533-position model. The record is from RNAcentral.